Molecule: ribosomal RNA, 2450 nt
Filed under: Escherichia coli
Lineage: Bacteria; Pseudomonadati; Pseudomonadota; Gammaproteobacteria; Enterobacterales; Enterobacteriaceae
Description: bacterial LSU rRNA
Rfam family: Bacterial large subunit ribosomal RNA
Source: RNAcentral
UGUGAGCUCGAUGAGUAGGGCGGGACACGUGGUAUCCUGUCUGAAUAUGGGGGGACCAUCCUCCAAGGCUAAAUACUCCUGACUGACCGAUAGUGAACCAGUACCGUGAGGGAAAGGCGAAAAGAACCCCGGCGAGGGGAGUGAAAAAGAACCUGAAACCGUGUACGUACAAGCAGUGGGAGCACGCUUAGGCGUGUGACUGCGUACCUUUUGUAUAAUGGGUCAGCGACUUAUAUUCUGUAGCAAGGUUAACCGAAUAGGGGAGCCGAAGGGAAACCGAGUCUUAACUGGGCGUUAAGUUGCAGGGUAUAGACCCGAAACCCGGUGAUCUAGCCAUGGGCAGGUUGAAGGUUGGGUAACACUAACUGGAGGACCGAACCGACUAAUGUUGAAAAAUUAGCGGAUGACUUGUGGCUGGGGGUGAAAGGCCAAUCAAACCGGGAGAUAGCUGGUUCUCCCCGAAAGCUAUUUAGGUAGCGCCUCGUGAAUUCAUCUCCGGGGGUAGAGCACUGUUUCGGCAAGGGGGUCAUCCCGACUUACCAACCCGAUGCAAACUGCGAAUACCGGAGAAUGUUAUCACGGGAGACACACGGCGGGUGCUAACGUCCGUCGUGAAGAGGGAAACAACCCAGACCGCCAGCUAAGGUCCCAAAGUCAUGGUUAAGUGGGAAACGAUGUGGGAAGGCCCAGACAGCCAGGAUGUUGGCUUAGAAGCAGCCAUCAUUUAAAGAAAGCGUAAUAGCUCACUGGUCGAGUCGGCCUGCGCGGAAGAUGUAACGGGGCUAAACCAUGCACCGAAGCUGCGGCAGCGACACUAUGUGUUGUUGGGUAGGGGAGCGUUCUGUAAGCCUGUGAAGGUGUACUGUGAGGUAUGCUGGAGGUAUCAGAAGUGCGAAUGCUGACAUAAGUAACGAUAAAGCGGGUGAAAAGCCCGCUCGCCGGAAGACCAAGGGUUCCUGUCCAACGUUAAUCGGGGCAGGGUGAGUCNUAUGCGUUGUUGGGUAGGGGAGCGUUCUGUAAGCCUGCGAAGGUGUGCUGUGAGGCAUGCUGGAGGUAUCAGAAGUGCGAAUGCUGACAUAAGUAACGAUAAAGCGGGUGAAAAGCCCGCUCGCCGGAAGACCAAGGGUUCCUGUCCAACGUUAAUCGGGGCAGGGUGAGUCGACCCCUAAGGCGAGGCCGAAAGGCGUAGUCGAUGGGAAACAGGUUAAUAUUCCUGUACUUGGUGUUACUGCGAAGGGGGGACGGAGAAGGCUAUGUUGGCCGGGCGACGGUUGUCCCGGUUUAAGCGUGUAGGCUGGUUUUCCAGGCAAAUCCGGAAAAUCAAGGCUGAGGCGUGAUGACGAGGCACUACGGUGCUGAAGCAACAAAUGCCCUGCUUCCAGGAAAAGCCUCUAAGCAUCAGGUAACAUCAAAUCGUACCCCAAACCGACACAGGUGGUCAGGUAGAGAAUACCAAGGCGCUUGAGAGAACUCGGGUGAAGGAACUAGGCAAAAUGGUGCCGUAACUUCGGGAGAAGGCACGCUGAUAUGUAGGUGAAGCGACUUGCUCGUGGAGCUGAAAUCAGUCGAAGAUACCAGCUGGCUGCAACUGUUUAUUAAAAACACAGCACUGUGCAAACACGAAAGUGGACGUAUACGGUGUGACGCCUGCCCGGUGCCGGAAGGUUAAUUGAUGGGGUUAGCGCAAGCGAAGCUCUUGAUCGAAGCCCCGGUAAACGGCGGCCGUAACUAUAACGGUCCUAAGGUAGCGAAAUUCCUUGUCGGGUAAGUUCCGACCUGCACGAAUGGCGUAAUGAUGGCCAGGCUGUCUCCACCCGAGACUCAGUGAAAUUGAACUCGCUGUGAAGAUGCAGUGUACCCGCGGCAAGACGGAAAGACCCCGUGAACCUUUACUAUAGCUUGACACUGAACAUUGAGCCUUGAUGUGUAGGAUAGGUGGGAGGCUUUGAAGUGUGGACGCCAGUCUGCAUGGAGCCGACCUUGAAAUACCACCCUUUAAUGUUUGAUGUUCUAACGUUGACCCGUAAUCCGGGUUGCGGACAGUGUCUGGUGGGUAGUUUGACUGGGGCGGUCUCCUCCUAAAGAGUAACGGAGGAGCACGAAGGUUGGCUAAUCCUGGUCGGACAUCAGGAGGUUAGUGCAAUGGCAUAAGCCAGCUUGACUGCGAGCGUGACGGCGCGAGCAGGUGCGAAAGCAGGUCAUAGUGAUCCGGUGGUUCUGAAUGGAAGGGCCAUCGCUCAACGGAUAAAAGGUACUCCGGGGAUAACAGGCUGAUACCGCCCAAGAGUUCAUAUCGACGGCGGUGUUUGGCACCUCGAUGUCGGCUCAUCACAUCCUGGGGCUGAAGUAGGUCCCAAGGGUAUGGCUGUUCGCCAUUUAAAGUGGUACGCGAGCUGGGUUUAGAACGUCGUGAGACAGUUCGGUCCCUAUCUGCCGUGGGCGCUGGAGAA